CCUACGGGAGGCAGCAGUGGGGAAUAUUGCACAAUGGGCGAAAGCCUGAUGCAGCGACGCCGCGUGAGGGAUGACGGCCUUCGGGUUGUAAACCUCUUUCAGCAGGGAAGAAGCGAAAGUGACGGUACCUGCAGAAGAAGCGCCGGCUAACUACGUGCCAGCAGCCGCGGUAAUACGUAGGGCGCAAGCGUUGUCCGGAAUUAUUGGGCGUAAAGAGCUCGUAGGCGGCUUGUCACGUCGGGUGUGAAAGCCCGGGGCUUAACCCCGGGUCUGCAUUCGAUACGGGCUAGCUAGAGUGUGGUAGGGGAGAUCGGAAUUCCCGGUGUAGCGGUGAAAUGCGCAGAUAUCAGGAGGAACACCGGUGGCGAAGGCGGAUCUCUGGGCCAUUACUGACGCUGAGGAGCGAAAGCGUGGGGAGCGAACAGGAUUAGAUACCCUGGUAGUCCACGCCGUAAACGGUGGGAACUAGGUGUUGGCGACAUUCCACGUCGUCGGUGCCGCAGCUAACGCAUUAAGUUCCCCGCCUGGGGAGUACGGCCGCAAGGCUAAAACUCAAAUGAAUUGACGGCUGAGACGNGCGAGACGACACGAGGAGAG
Molecule: ribosomal RNA, 597 nt
Filed under: uncultured bacterium
Lineage: Bacteria
Description: bacterial SSU rRNA
Rfam family: Bacterial small subunit ribosomal RNA
Source: RNAcentral